AUGUCUGCAGACACCGCCAAGAGCCAGGUCUCCCUGCAGCUCCGCUCGCUGACAGCUGUAGACACCGCCACCUAUUACUGCUCCAGAGACACAGUGACCCAGAGUGUCCUAUCCGAGGUGCGGCUGGUCCAGUCCGGCCCCGGAGUGGCGAAGCCCGGAGAGACCCUCACCCUGACCUGUGCUGUCUCCGGGAUCUCCAUCACUGACGGCACUUACUACUGGCAAUGGAUCCGACAGGCUGUCGGGAAAGGGCUGGAAUGGAUGGGACUCCUACAUCCAAAUAGCGGGGGUACAAGUUACGCCCCGUCCCUCAAGGGCCGAGUCACCCUCUCUGCAGAUUCCUCCAAGAACCAGGUCUCCCUGCAGCUCCGCUCGCUGACAGCUGCAGACACCGCCACGUAUUACUGCACCCGAUACACAAUGACACAGAGCAAA
Non-coding RNA from Terrapene triunguis (Three-toed box turtle), 435 nucleotides. The record is from the annotation of a RefSeq genome assembly. Lineage: Eukaryota; Metazoa; Chordata; Testudines; Emydidae.